CACACACACACACACACACACACACACAGACACACACACACACACACACACACACAGACACACACACACACACACACACACACACACACACACACAGACACACACACACACACACACACACACACACACACACAGCUGGGCGACCGACACUGUGACAGAGUGAGGAAACUGAGAAAAAGAGAGCGUUUUACGGACGUUAUCAGUUUCCUUCGAACAGACACAACAAGGAAGUUUUAGUAAAUAAAAUAAUAAAUAAAAUAAUCUGCAGCUGGUUAACUUUAUUAUUAAUUAAUGACCAAUGGAAACGUAAUACAGCACCACUGUAUCACAAAUAUAAUACAGCUCCCAACCUUCUCUCUCCGCUUCCCUACAGUGCCAACAGUGUGCAACAGUCAAAGCUAACAUUACUGCUAAGCUAGUGGAACAUAUUGUAUAAUAUUGGAUAAUGUUAGCUUGCUUGCUAACGUGAUGAAUUAUACUAGCUAAUGUCUUCUGACAGUGUUGAUUUUAGCCAACAAUAAAUGAUGUAGCUGCACAAAGCUAACGAUAGCUUUCUACUAGCCAAAAGCGAUGCGAGACAUCAGGCUAGCUUACUGUAGCUAAGCUAAACUGGGAUUGUCCUCCAUGUAGAGUGAAACGUAGCAACCACAUUGCUAACCAACUGUUCUCCUGUAGUGUUGUUCUAACUCUGGUUAGCAGCUCGGUGCAUAUUGUACAGGUCAAUGCUAAUCAGUGGCGUCCGGCAGGGCGAGUCUGCGCGUCUGGAAGCUCUAAAACAUUUAAACCAACCGCUGACGAUCUAAAAACAAGACCGAUUAUUUCUCACCAAAAAUGUUUCCAGAAACACAUUUCAAUGAACAAUUUUCUUAAUUUAAGAGAAAGUUAGAGGAAGAGGAGGACGCAGCAGAGACGGGAGAGGACGAGGUCGGCAACAGAAAGGCAGUUUGAGGCAUUGUCACGCCGUAACGCCCAAAUUCCAUCGACAAAUACACAAACUAACAACGUCAGGCAGGAAAUACGCUCUGAAGCAAUUGGAAGACGUACAGAGCCAAACGCAGCGCAGACUCUUCCUGUUGAUGAAGUCUACGCCCUAAAGUCUCUGUGAAAGAAGUUUCGUAAAGAGUUCAUUGAUCUGAUCCGUUGGCCCGUUACAGACAGAUGGUUCAUCCAAUCCAAUGAGCUGAAACAUGUCUCUGUGUAGUGACUAUCAGUCGACCUGUAAACUGAUAAAUGUUUGUAAUCAAUAGAUGAUGUUGGUCUGAGACAUGAACAGUAUUCAUUAAGAGUCAGAGUCAUUCUUUAAUAAUCCUGGCGGAGACUCGAUGAAAUGUCACGUUGUUGCUCUCUUCCCUCCAUCAUGCUUCUGACUCUGUCUAAUAAUAAAACUGUGGAUGAUGUUUUAUUGAUAACCUCGUCCUGCCUGCUGGGUUCACUGAGGCACAUUUCACUCCCGUCAGCUCCACUUUCUCCACCAGCAGACGCCUGUCACGACUUAUUGUUCUGUUACUGAACAUUAGGAGGCAACCAGUUCAACCUCACAGCUGCAUUAAGGGCAAACAAUCGGUACUAACAGGAAUCUGUGGGAUGUGAAAUGAGGUCGACGUCUGGCAGGAGGCUUUCAGUUAAAACGGAUUAUAAAGGGUGAGAACAGAAACACAUCGCUGAUGUUCCUUUAAUCAAACUUUAACAUAGUUGUACAGAGAAUGUAUCCUUGUAUUGAGAUCCUUGAAUGUAGAUCUUAUUCUUGCAUCUAGAUCCUUGUGUCCAGACCACUGAAUCUAGAGCAUGAUCUGAUAUCCUUGGAUCUAGAUAUCUGGACCACAUCAUUGUACCUGGACUCUUCGUAUCCCUGCAUCUUCAUUGUCACCUUGUUUUUAGAUCCUUAUCUGGAUCUUAACCUUGUAUAGAGAUAGUAUCCUUGUAUCUAGAUCUCAUCUCUGUGUCUAGUUCCUUGUAAAUAGGUCUUACCCUUGUAUUAGGAUCAGAUUCUUGUGUCUAGAUAUUUUAAUCUGGAUCAUAGUCUUGUAUCUGCACGCUGGUAUGAAGAUUGUAUUCUUAUAUCUAGAUCACAUAUAAAAAGGCCUUACCUUUGUACUCUAGAUCUCUUCUAUCUAUCUAGAUCAGACUUCUGUAUCCAGGCCCCUGUAUCUAGAUCCUAUCCUUGUAUCUGGAUGCUGGUAUGAAGAUUGUAUCUUUGUAUCUGGAUCUAUGUAAAUAGGUCUUACCCUUGUAUUUACUGUAGAUCAUCUAUGUAGAUCAUAUCCUUGAUCCUCGAGUCUUGUAUCUGGGUUGUAUCUCUGUCUCUAGUUCCUUUUUAAUCUCUAAUCUAGAAUGCAUUGUACCUAUAUUGGACUAUUGUGUUUGGACUUUUUUAUCUAGAUACUGUAUCUGGGUUGUAUACUACUGUAACAUGAAAAGCUAAAAAUAUUGGAUUUACCAGCUGUUUGUUUCUUAGUAAAAUACUGGCUGCCCCCUGUCUCCAGUGUUUGUGCUAAGCGAGGCUAUCAGUUUCCCCCUGUCUCCAGUGUUUGUGCUAAGCUAGGCUAAACGUGGACCUAUCUCUGUACUGGAUGCACAGAGAUGAAACUGAAGACGAGAGUUUUCAGAAAAUAGUAUUGAGUCCAGCCUUUUGUGCAGUACAGGAGUAUUAUUAUUAGUAUCAUUAUUAUUGUUCAUAUUGUUAUUAAUAGUUAGUAUUAAUAUUACUGUGAAAUGUUAUAUCUUCAGUCUGAGGCUGGAGGAUCAUGAAGGUCAAGUGACUCUGUGCUCCGGUCCUCCUCCGGCUCUCUGUGGGUUUAACAUACAGCUGCUAAGUGCUGCUGUCCGAGGGAAUACACAGAGUGUGAGUGAUUGUUGGGAACCAGUUUUCUCUUCACUGAUGGAUCUUUGAGUGUUGUUCCUUCGCAGCGAAUCAGACCGAGAACAGUUCAGUGUCUAAACAGCGCGGGUUGUUGUUUUGUUGUUUUGCAGUUAUUUUACCUUUCCUGCAACCAAAGUAAACUGCAAUAAGUCGGGUUGGGGGGUCCUUUCUACCUUAUUGAAUCUAGUUUAAUUUACCAGUAACAAAUAUAUUGGAGCAACGUUGGUAUCCGUGGCAAUGUUUGUUUAUCCGCAGAUUGAAUCAUAAGUGAAGACGCGAUCAAUAAUCUGAUCACAUGCGUCUUCCAGCUCCACAACUCCAAUUUACAUUAUUUUAUGUAUUUUAUAACCCCGCCCCCUUCUUAAUGACAGACAGUCAGUGAGUGUGUGUCUGUGUCCAACUCUUCCUCACAGGUUAGUUAAUGACAGACAGUCAGUGAGUGUGUCUGUGUCCAACUCUUCCUCACAGGUUAGUUAAUGACAGACAGUCAGUGAGUGUGUCUGUGUCCAACUCUUCCUCACAGGUUAGUUAAUGACAGACAGUCAGUGAGUGUGUCUGUGUCCAACUCUUCCUCACAGGUUAGUUAAUGAUGUUACUGAGUCAAUGUGAGCAGAUUGUGUCUGUAGAUUGAAGAGAAUCAGAGUCUCUCUGAUGGUGGAAAUAAAGGUUUUACUUCCUUAAAA
Long non-coding RNA from Dicentrarchus labrax (European seabass), 3543 nucleotides. RefSeq lists it as uncharacterized. The record is from RefSeq and is a predicted model, not a curated record. NCBI's taxonomy places the organism in Eukaryota, Metazoa, Chordata, Actinopteri, Moronidae. The transcript is spliced from 2 exons.